UUGCUCACUUUGGCAGCACGUAUACUAAAAUCGGAACAGUACAGAGAAGAUUAGCAUGGCCCCUAUACAAGGAUGACAUGCAAAUUCAUGAAGUGUUCCAUAUUUUU
Molecule: small nuclear RNA, 107 nt
Organism: Cervus hanglu yarkandensis (Yarkand deer)
Lineage: Eukaryota; Metazoa; Chordata; Mammalia; Artiodactyla; Cervidae
Source: Ensembl